GGAGGAAUAGUUCAGUGGUAGGACAUGUACUUAGGAUGCACAAGGCUCUGGAUUCCAUCCCCAGGCCCCCA
Molecule: transfer RNA, 71 nt
Filed under: Marmota monax (woodchuck)
Lineage: Eukaryota; Metazoa; Chordata; Mammalia; Rodentia; Sciuridae
Description: tRNA.Pro
Source: RNAcentral